This 479-nucleotide unclassified non-coding RNA is filed under the name Hevea brasiliensis (rubber tree). The record is from RNAcentral. Lineage: Eukaryota; Viridiplantae; Streptophyta; Magnoliopsida; Malpighiales; Euphorbiaceae.
GCCAGAAAGAAAAAUAGGAAAUUAAUCACCAUUUUCUGUAUGAAGUUUUACUUUAUUACCAAUCAGUUAGUGUUCUGCAAUUGGAUGCUGCUGCUACAGUGGUCCUAAUUCUAAGCAUUCAAAACAAAUGGGAAUCACAUUCUUAGAGGGUAGAGAAAAUUUGGGAAAACAUUGCUACAACAACUAAGUCUUAAUUCUAAACUAGUUAGGGUUGGCUGGAUAGGCCCCUUUUUGCCAUUCAGCUCUGUAAAAUUUGGGAAAACAUAGAAAAUCUUUAUUAGCUGUAAGUGGAGAAUAUCUAGUAUUUAUUAAGGAUGCGAUUAGAAAUAAAGAUUCUUGAUGAUAUGACGUGGAAGGAGGGAUAAGGUUAUGAAAAAUUAUGUUGGAAACUAUAUAAGUCUACAUAUGCAUUGUAAAUAAAAGCUUGUAUCUUGCCAUCAUUAAAAUAAAGUUUGACAUCCACAUGCAUGUAAACUAUG